CAAAGGGAGCGAUUCCGGCAACGGAUGGGCAUGCGUGACAUUAGCUAGUUGGCGGGGCAACGGCCCACCAAGGCGACGAUGUCUAGGGGUUCUGAGAGGAAGGUCCCCCACACUGGUACUGAGACACGGACCAGACUCCUACGGGAGGCAGCAGUGAGGAAUAUUGGUCAAUGGGCGCGAGCCUGAACCAGCCAAGUCGCGUGAGGGAUGACGGCCCUACGGGUUGUAAACCUCUUUUGUCGGGGAGCAAAUUCCGCCACGUGUGGCGGAGUCGAGAGUACCCGAAGAAAAAGCAUCGGCUAACUCCGUGCCAGCAGCCGCGGUAAUACGGAGGAUGCGAGCGUUAUCCGGAUUUAUUGGGUUUAAAGGGUGCGUAGGCGGACUGUCAAGUCAGCGGUAAAAUACGGGGGCUCAACCUCCGCCCGCCGUUGAAACUGACGGUCUUGAGUGGGCGAGAAGUAUGCGGAAUGCGUGGUGUAGCGGUGAAAUGCAUAGAUAUCACGCAGAACUCCGAUUGCGAAGGCAGCAUACCGGCGCCCAACUGACGCUGAAGCACGAAAGCGUGGGUAUCGAACAGGAUUAGAUACCCUGGUAGUCCACGCAGUAAACGAUGAAUACUAGCUGUCCGGGGCGAAUGAGCCCUGG
RNAcentral lists this ribosomal RNA (645 nucleotides) under uncultured bacterium. RNAcentral describes it as "bacterial SSU rRNA". It matches the Rfam family "Bacterial small subunit ribosomal RNA", at positions 201 to 842 of the family's 1533-position model. The record is from RNAcentral.